Choloepus didactylus (southern two-toed sloth) is the source of this 121-nucleotide small nucleolar RNA. RefSeq annotates it as small nucleolar RNA SNORA5. The transcript has a single exon. NCBI's taxonomy places the organism in Eukaryota, Metazoa, Chordata, Mammalia, Pilosa, Megalonychidae. The record is from RefSeq and is a predicted model, not a curated record.
UGUACCAGUUUUUAAACGUAAACCAGGGCUAGCCCAGAUGGCUGCCACAGCAAGCUCUGCAGCUCAUGGGCCCCAAGUCCCCUGUUCUGGGGCCUGGGGAUAAGUUUGGCUACAGACAUUC